GUGGACUGUGCAUCCCUCCGUGUCCUCGAGUGACCGUCUGCUCGUGUGUGCAGGGCGACCUUUUCCUGACUUCACCAAGCAUGCGAUGGAGCAUAACUAGAGCAAGGAGAGACGUAUCCAGCAUGGGGAAAAUAAACUACAGGGCAGGACUGCACUUUGCAGCUCUUCCGUCUGCGCAUCCUACUGGAGGUGAGCCUGGCAUCUGCAAGCUGCCGCUCGGAGGAAGUGCCAAGGCGACCACAGGCCCUGCCAACACAAGCAAGAGAUCUGAUGUCAUCUUCAGAACUGCUAUUGAAAAACAGAAAAAGCAUUAUUCAAGGAAGUGAAAAAUCAUCUCUGACUUAAGCCAUGAAGGGCUUCAAAUACGGGUCCUGGCAAGAGCCGUGGAGGCUGCUCCGACAGUUAUGUUCUCCCUGCAUUUUCGGCACCAGUGUGUGGGGCACCUUGGGCUGCCCUGGUGGGGAUGAGCACAUGGAGGACGCCCAACCCCGCGGGCACCUCUGCUCCUACUGCCCCGCGAGGCAGUGAGGUCCCCCUGGCCUCGUCUACUGGGUCAGCUCCGGGUUUGAUCCUUGGGCUUUCAUUACACAAACAUUUAACUAACUACAGAAACCAGUGGUUUUUGAUCUUUUAAAAUGUGUAGUUCCCCCAGAUAUUUUCCAGUGCUUACCCUAGUGGAAUUUAAACCUGUUGCCGAACUGCUUUUCUCAGGGUUUUAUGUGCCUGGAGGUGUAGGAAGCACACACUGAAAACCGCUGGAGCAAGGAAUGAAGGAAGCAGACAUGAAAUAUAUCUGGUUAAAAUGUAAGCAAGAGUGUGUGCACAGCAUUUUGCAAAAGUUUAAAUCUGUUUAAUUGCAUAGUUUGUGUUGAAUUAAUGCAAUUCUACAUUUAGAUAAGCUCUUAAGGCAUAAUUUUUAAACUAGUUUCCCUAGGAGAGCUUGAAAGUCUGUAGGAAUAUUCUUAUUUCUGGCUUCCUGAGGAUAAAUCUAGACAGAGCUUAAAGGCAUGAUGCAAAAUUGAUGUAGCCAGUUUGAUGUAACCAGCACGUUCCAGAAAAAGCACCGAUAAUGCCACUUCUUCUCCAGCUUAUGCCAAACCAGUCCUCGUGGGAAGCUGGUCUUGAGUCAGCUUGCCUUGCCUCAUUUUAGGAUCUUUUAGGGCUCAGACACGUUUGCUUUAGGGCAACUUCACACAGCAGCCAAGCCAACAGUGUGCACGUUGCCUUUAAUCAGUGGCAAAUACGAGGAAGAUUUUUAUAGGAUGUGGGUCCACAUCUGUGUGCAGUUACAGGUUAG
RNAcentral lists this long non-coding RNA (1297 nucleotides) under Apteryx owenii (little spotted kiwi). RNAcentral describes it as "lncRNA (ENSAOWG00000000319.1)". Lineage: Eukaryota; Metazoa; Chordata; Aves; Apterygiformes; Apterygidae. The record is from RNAcentral.